GACGAACGCUGGCGGCGUGCUUAACACAUGCAAGUCGAACGAUGAAACCUAGCUUGCUAGGUCGAUUAGUGGCGAACGGGUGAGUGACACGUGACUAACCUGCCCCUUUCUCUGGGAUAACGCUCCGAAAUGGUAGCUAAUACCGGAUACGACCCUCGGUGGCAUCACCAGGGGGUGGAAAGAAUUUCGGUCAAGGAUGGACUCGCGGCCUAUCAGCUAGUUGGUGAGGUAACGGCUCACCAAGGCGACGACGGGUAGCCGGCCUGAGAGGGUGACCGGCCACACUGGGACUGAGACACGGCCCAGACUCCUACGGGAGGCAGCAGUGGGGAAUAUUGCACAAUGGGCGCAAGCCUGAUGCAGCAACGCCGCGUGAGGGAUGACGGCCUUCGGGUUGUAAACCUCUUUUAGUAGGGAAGAAGCGAAGGUGACGGUACCUGCAGAAAAAGCACCGGCUAACUACGUGCCAGCCGCCGCCGUAA
Molecule: ribosomal RNA, 482 nt
Filed under: uncultured bacterium
Lineage: Bacteria
Description: partial 16S ribosomal RNA
Rfam family: Bacterial small subunit ribosomal RNA
Source: RNAcentral